UGGUUGAUCCUGCCAGUAGCAUAUGCUUGUCUCAAAGAUUAAGCCAUGCAUGUAUAAGUUCACACCUUUAUAUGGUGAAACCGCGAAUGGCUCAUUAAAUCAGCUAUGGUUCCUUAGAUCUUAUGUCCAUACUUGGAUAACUGUAGUAAUUCUAGAGCUAAUACAUGCUUAAAAGCCUUGACUUAACAGGAAGGGCGAAUUUAUUAGAACAAAACCAACCGGCUCUGCCGUUGGCUUGAUGACUCUGGAUAACUUUUCUGAUCGCACGGCCACGUGCCAGCGACGUAUCUUUCAAAUGUCUGCCCUAUCAACUAUCGAUGGUAGGUUAUAUGCCUACCAUGGUGAUGACGGGUAACGGGGAAUCAGGGUUCGAUUCCGGAGAGGGAGCCUUAGAAAUGGCUACCACAUCUAAGGAAGGCAGCAGGCGCGCAAAUUACCCACUCUCAGCUCGAGGAGGUAGUGACGAAAAAUAACGAUGCGGGACUCAAAUGAGGCCUCGCAAUUGGAAUGAGUACAAUUUAAAUCCUUUAACGAGGAACAAUUGGAGGGCAAGUCUGGU
RNAcentral lists this ribosomal RNA (559 nucleotides) under uncultured eukaryote. RNAcentral describes it as "SSU rRNA". It matches the Rfam family "Eukaryotic small subunit ribosomal RNA", at positions 5 to 565 of the family's 1831-position model. The record is from RNAcentral.